AGGGUUAUAGCUCAGUGGUAGAGUGUGUGCUUAGCAUGCAUGAGGUCCUGGGUUCAAUUCCCAGUACCUCCA
Molecule: transfer RNA, 72 nt
Filed under: Camelus ferus (Wild Bactrian camel)
Lineage: Eukaryota; Metazoa; Chordata; Mammalia; Artiodactyla; Camelidae
Rfam family: tRNA
About the family: Transfer RNA (tRNA) molecules are approximately 80 nucleotides in length. Their secondary structure includes four short double-helical elements and three loops (D, anti-codon, and T loops).
Source: Rfam by way of RNAcentral